UACAGAGGGUGCGAGCGUUAAUCGGAAUUACUGGGCGUAAAGGGUGCGUAGGCGGUUAGAUAAGUUAAUUGUGAAAGUCCUGGGCUUAACCUGGGGAUUGCAGUUAAUACUGUCUAGCUCGAGUGUUGUAGAGGUGAGCGGAAUUUCCGGUGUAGCGGUGAAAUGCGUAGAUAUCGGAAGGAACAUCGAUGGCGAAGGCAGCUUGCUGGACAACAACUGACGCUGAGGCACGAAAGCGUGGGGAGCAAACAGG
RNAcentral lists this ribosomal RNA (253 nucleotides) under uncultured bacterium. RNAcentral describes it as "partial 16S ribosomal RNA". It matches the Rfam family "Bacterial small subunit ribosomal RNA", at positions 524 to 776 of the family's 1533-position model. The record is from RNAcentral.